CCCACGCCGCUGCUCCUGCCUCCCUCUCCUUCUUCCACCUCCCCUCCCCAUUGACGCUGCCUACCUCUCCCUCUCCUUCCGCCUCCUUCGCCAUGGGCGCUCCCCACCUCUCCCCUCCUUCCACCUGAAGCCGUGCUAGCUGCGGGACCCCGAGCGCCGUGCUGCGACGGGCAUCGGGGGGUGCUGGACCUCCGGUGGCCGAGCUGCGACGGACUUCUCUAGUGUCGAGUGCUGGAACCAGCGAUAUCCGAUGCUACUACCGGCUUUGUCGAGUGCUGGAACCAGCUUCAUUUUUUGUUGGAACUUGCUUUUUUUUCUGCUACAACCAUGUUUUGUUUUUGCUGGAACUGGCCCAUGCUUUUGCUACCACCCCCCGCCCAAAUUUUUGCUACUAGGUGAUUUUUGCUGCAACCGAUGAACCAUUUUGCUACAACCGUUUUGAUUUUUUGUUACUACCGGUGUUUGUCGAUUUUUUGCUACAUACAUCUUCUGUUUUUUCCAGUCUUUUUUGCUACAACCAUAUUUUGAUUUUGCUGGAACUGAAGACAUUUUUUGCUACAUCCACCCACGGCGGUGUUGCUCAACGGCGGCGAUAGUUUUUUUUUUCUACAACCGUCUCGGAUUUUUGCUACUACCGGAGAUGCCAUUUGCUACCACCGGAGUUUUUGCUACUACCAGAGUCUUCAUGGAAACAUCAAGAGUUUUUGCUAUCACCCUUUGUUUUUGCUGGAACCAUCCUAAAAUUUUGCUACCACCGUAUUUUGAUUUUGCUGGAACCGGCAUUUUUCACUUCGGUGUCGGUGAUGAAGGCGGGUGGUGUUUUGGUUCGCCGGCGGCGGCGAGGCUGCGAGCGCCGGCGACGAGCAGGGGCAGCGGUGGUCCAAGCGAGAGAAGCGCAUGCCAGAGUGCGGGAUCCCGCGAGCGGCGGUGGCGUCUGCUUUUUGUGUCUCCUCUUUUUUCCCAUGGGGAGGAUGACGAUAGGAGAUGUGGGGCAGAUCUGACGGUUACGCAUGUCCAGAUCGAGUGGCUCUGGUUGGACCGGCCGAAACGUUCCGCCGGUGCGCCGGCGCAGAGUACCGCCCUUUCAGUAUUACAAUAUAAACUACAUGCAGGUGUAUUUUAGAGGAUAGAUUCACUCAUUUUGCUUCGUACGUAUUUUAUAUUGGAAUCUCUAAAAAGGCUUAUAUUUAGGAACGGAGGAAGUAGUUAAGAGGCUAACAGUACCUUCGGCCGACCAAUGAUCAAACUUCGAUUCUACGCUUUGUGUUUUCAUAAAGGCAAAAUAUUCUUUCUAUGUUAGGUAAUAUUUUUGUCGAUAGCGAGGCGUCUACGAUGACAUCGUCAAUAUUACAAGCCGUUGACUUAGUCUCUUAGAUGUUCAUAGGGUAGAAUGUGGGUGCGUAUGUUCACGCUUUAUGCAGGAGGGAGCGACUUCUUCUCGCUUUAUGCCACCCAAAACCUUGUCUCGCUUCAGCGUCGCUACGAAUGGACCAACCCAAGUAACUUCAUGGAGGUGCAUACCUACAGCGGGCAUAGCUAGAUGGAGCUUGUGUGCGUGUGUGCGCUACGGGGAUGCGACCGUGGCUGGGGCGCACCCACAGGACGCGGAGGGCCCGACCAAAGCUCGAGCUUCUCCAUGGCCAUGGCCAUGGCUUUCAGGCUCGAACAUGCAAAUGCAGUUUUUUGCAGUAACGUUUUUUGAUGUGACUUUUUGCAACAUCGACAGUGUUGCAAACGGCGGCGGCGAACGGCAGUUGUGUUUCUGCGAGAUGCAUUGACAACGGCGGCAUUUCUCCACACCAUUUUCAUUACAAUUUUUUUGCAACGUUCUAUAUGUUGCAAAAGUUCUUUCACAACACCACCUGUUGCAAAAAAGGAAGUAAAGAAGGGAAAUAUUUUUAAGCAA
Long non-coding RNA from Triticum aestivum (bread wheat), 1906 nucleotides. RefSeq lists it as uncharacterized. NCBI's taxonomy places the organism in Eukaryota, Viridiplantae, Streptophyta, Magnoliopsida, Poales, Poaceae. The record is from RefSeq and is a predicted model, not a curated record. The transcript is spliced from 2 exons.